RNAcentral lists this ribosomal RNA (1577 nucleotides) under marine metagenome. RNAcentral describes it as "bacterial SSU rRNA". It matches the Rfam family "Bacterial small subunit ribosomal RNA", at positions 170 to 1470 of the family's 1533-position model. The record is from RNAcentral.
CUCAAUUUCCGUACCGACUAUUUUGAAGUCAGUGCUCGUCUUAAGGGAUGCCACGAUGUGAAAUCUCAUCUUCUUACUCCUUGCUUCAGUUGUGGAUGUGAAUGCUGUAGUACAUUAUAUCAACUUAUUUUUUAUUUGUCAAGUCAUUUUCAAAAAGUAGUGCUCGGUAAAGAUUUUUCGCUUUGGGAGCGGCCUGCGGAGUAUCAGCUUGUUGGUAGGGUAAAAGCCUACCAAGGCUAUGACGCUUGGGGGAGGUGAGAGCCUGGCCCCCACCGAUGGGACUGAGAACGGCCCAUACACCUACGGGUGGCCGCAGUCGAGAAUCUUCCGCAAUGGGCGAAAGCCUGACGGAGCGACGCCGCGUGAUGGAUGAAGUCUUUCGGGACGUAAACAUCUUUUAUGACUGAAGAAGUCCGCAUCACACUGCGUGUGAUGCGGUUAGGCACUAGGCGUUAGGCACUAGGCACUAGGACAUUUUCGCCUUUGGCGAAAAUGUUUCCUAAAGCCUAAAGCCUAAUUUCCUAAAGCCUAGCCGUAUCGCGCAUAGCGUGAUGCGGAUUGACAUUAGGUCAGGAAUAAGGGGCUGCUAAUCACGUGCCAGCAGCAGCGGUAAUACGUGAGCCCCAAGCGUUAUCCGGAAUUACUGGGCGUAAAGGGUGUGUAGGCGGUUUCAUUAGUCUUUCGUUAAAGCCUCCGGCUUAACCGGAGAAAUGCGAAAGAAACGGUGAAACUUGAGAGUGCGAGAGGUCUAUGGAACUCAUGGUGUAGGGGUGAAAUCCGUUGAUAUCAUGGGGAACACCAAAAGCGAAGGCAAUAGACUGGCGCAUUUCUGACGCUGAGACACGAAAGCGUGGGUAGCGAAAGGGAUUAGAUACCCCUGUAGUCCACGCCCUAAACGAUGUUCUCUAGCUUUUUGGAGUAUCGACCCUCUGGGAGGCGAAGCUAACGCGUUAAGAGAACCGCCUGGGAAGUACGAGCGCAAGCUUAAAACUCAAAGGAAUAGACGGGGACUUGCACAAGCGGUGGAUCAGGUGGCUUAAUUCGACAAUAAACGAAGAACCUUACCAGGACUUGAAACCCUAAUGACGUAUCAAGGAGACUUGAUAUUUCUCACAAGGACAUUAGGGCAGGUGAUGCAUGGCCGUCGUCAGUUCGUGGCUUGAGCUGUUCCCUUCAGUGGGGAAACGAACGCAACCCCUAUCGUCUGUUAUACGUGUCAGGCGAGACCGCCGCGUAAGUUGGAGGAAGGUGGGGAUGACGCCAGGUCAGCAUGUCCCUUUGAUGUCCUGGGCUGCACACCUGAUACAAUGGUCAUUACAGAAGGUUGCGACGGGGUAACCCUGAGCUAAUCCUUUAAAAGUGGCCUCAGUUCGGAUUGAGGGCUGAAACUCGACCUCAUGAAGUCGGAAUCGCUAGUAAUCGCGGGUCAGAUAUACCGCGGUGAAUACGUUCCCAAGUCUUGUACUCACCGCCCGUCAUGUCAAGGGAGCCGGGAGUGCCCGAAGUCCCUCCACUUUGUUUGCAAGCAAACAAAGCGGAACAUUUUCCGCCUUUGGCGGAGACCUUUGACUGUUUUG